This 923-nucleotide ribosomal RNA is filed under the name Escherichia coli. RNAcentral's name for it is "partial 23S ribosomal RNA". It matches the Rfam family "Bacterial large subunit ribosomal RNA", at positions 1 to 956 of the family's 2925-position model. The record is from RNAcentral. Lineage: Bacteria; Pseudomonadati; Pseudomonadota; Gammaproteobacteria; Enterobacterales; Enterobacteriaceae.
GGGUUGUGAGGUUAAGCGACUAAGCGUACACGGUGGAUGCCCUGGCAGUCAGAGGCGAUGAAGGACGUGCUAAUCUGCGAUAAGCGUCGGUAAGGUGAUAUGAACCGUUAUAACCGGCGAUUUCCGAAUGGGGAAACCCAGUGUGAUUCGUCACACUAUCAUUAACUGAAUCCAUAGGUUAAUGAGGCGAACCGGGGGAACUGAAACAUCUAAGUACCCCGAGGAAAAGAAAUCAACCGAGAUUCCCCCAGUAGCGGCGAGCGAACGGGGAGGAGCCCAGAGCCUGAAUCAGUGUGUGUGUUAGUGGAAGCGUCUGGAAAGGCGCGCGAUACAGGGUGACAGCCCCGUACACAAAAAUACACAUAUUGUGAGCUCGAUGAGUAGGGCGGGACACGUGGUAUCCUGUCUGAAUAUGGGGGGACCAUCCUCCAAGGCUAAAUACUCCUGACUGACCGAUAGUGAACCAGUACCGUGAGGGAAAGGCGAAAAGAACCCCGGCGAGGGGAGUGAAAAAGAACCUGAAACCGUGUACGUACAAGCAGUGGGAGCACGCUUAGGCGUGUGACUGCGUACCUUUUGUAUAAUGGGUCAGCGACUUAUAUUCUGUAGCAAGGUUAACCGAAUAGGGGAGCCGAAGGGAAACCGAGUCUUAACUGGGCGUUAAGUUGCAGGGUAUAGACCCGAAACCCGGUGAUCUAGCCAUGGGCAGGUUGAAGGUUGGGUAACACUAACUGGAGGACCGAACCGACUAAUGUUGAAAAAUUAGCGGAUGACUUGUGGCUGGGGGUGAAAGGCCAAUCAAACCGGGAGAUAGCUGGUUCUCCCCGAAAGCUAUUUAGGUAGCGCCUCGUGAAUUCAUCUCCGGGGGUAGAGCACUGUUUCGGCAAGGGGGUCAUCCCGACUUACCAACCCGAUGCAAACUG